This 415-nucleotide ribosomal RNA is filed under the name uncultured bacterium. Its description in RNAcentral is "bacterial SSU rRNA". It matches the Rfam family "Bacterial small subunit ribosomal RNA", at positions 355 to 787 of the family's 1533-position model. The record is from RNAcentral.
UGGGGAAUCUUGCACAAUGGGGGAAACCCUGAUGCAGCGACGCCGCGUGAGCGAUGAAGCCCUUCGGGGUGUAAAGCUCUUUCGGCAGGGAAGAUGAUGACGGUACCUGCAGAAGCAGCUGCGGCUAACUACGUGCCAGCAGCCGCGGUAAUACGUAGGCAGCAAGCGUUGUUCGGAGUUACUGGGCGUAAAGGGUGUGUAGGCGGUUGUUUAAGUUUGGUGUGAAAUCUCCCGGCUCAACUGGGAGGGUGCGCCGAAUACUGAAUGACUAGAGUGCGGGAGAGGAAAGUGGAAUUCCUGGUGUAGCGGUGAAAUGCGUAGAUAUCAGGAGGAAUACCGGUGGUGUAGACGGCUUUCUGGACCGUAACUGACGCUGAAACACGAAAGCGUGGGUAGCAAACAGGAUUAGAUACCC